ACUGUUUCCCGCCUUUCCCAGGAUCAUACCAUGUUUUCCCGCCACAAACUGUACAAAAGAACUGUAAUCACAGACUGGUGGUGCAGUCCAUCUUAGUGACUGUGCAUGGGCAGCUCGGGUCUUCGUGGCACUAGUGCACCAUCGAAGAAUACCAUUCACUCCCGAAGUGAGAGGAAAGAAGACGCAUUCCACCUUACCUGCUGCUGGGAACGUCAACAACCAGAGGGUCCUCGGUCCGUUUCUUCCAUCCCAACUGCCAUCGAGGGACUCUCCAGUGCUCCUCCUCUACGGGUUCCAGAUGCCCCUGGAGUGGAGGUUCUGGACUUCACCGCCGCCACGGAAGUGAUGGGAAUAUAAGUCAAGUAUGUGAAACCUGUGGAAUUGGAAUGUACUUGCCUUGUGCUGGAAAAUAUUUCAAAGCUCAAACGGAACCACACUGUCCCCACUGCAAUGAGUUUUGGCCACAUGAGAUUCCAGAAAUAAAUCGGCCAGAUUCCCAGUUGCCUUCAAGUGCCCCGAGGGAGAGGAGAAGAACCCCAUCCUCAGGAACAAGGCGGCGUUAGAAAGACCAGCUUCAGUUAGAGCGGCCAUUUUCUUUUGUUCUCUUACAGAUGCCCAAUUGCAGUUUACUUCCGCGUUGGUGUAAAAUGUGUCAUUCUGAAAGUAGGAAUGCCUAGGGAACAAAGUCAACUUUCUUUUUAUGGUUUGUUUUUACUCGGCUAAAAUCUUGCUAGAAGUUUGAAAAUAAAACUGUUGUGACUUUG
Mauremys reevesii (Reeves's turtle) is the source of this 764-nucleotide long non-coding RNA. RefSeq lists it as uncharacterized. The record is from RefSeq and is a predicted model, not a curated record. NCBI's taxonomy places the organism in Eukaryota, Metazoa, Chordata, Testudines, Geoemydidae. The transcript is spliced from 3 exons.